GUUGAACGCUGGCGGCGGGCCUAAUACAUGCAAGUCGAGCGGUAACACGAAUCACUUUCCCCUCUCGCGUUCGCGGCGCACGGGUGUGUAACACGUGUGUGAACCUCCUAGAUGGCUGGGAUAACUUCGUGAAACCGGUGCUAAUACCGGCUAAACUUCUCAACCGCAUGGUGCAAGACUUACAGACCGCUUGCCUGCGGCUGAUAGAUGAUUCCGCGACGCAUUAGCUAGUGGGUCAGGUAACGGCUUACCAAGGCCACGAUGCGUAGCCGAUCUGAGAGGAUGACCAGCCACACUGGAACUGAGACACGGUCCAGACUCCUACGGGAGGCAGCAGUGGGGAAUCUUGCGCAAUGGGCGAAAGCCUGACGGAGCAACGCCGCGUGAGUGAAGAAGGCCUUCGGGUUGUAAAGUUCUUUUAGUAGGGAGGAAGAGAGGAGUAUGUAAACCUGCACUCAUUGACGUUACCUAAUGAGAAAGCAACGGCUAACUCCGUG
This 497-nucleotide ribosomal RNA is filed under the name uncultured bacterium. RNAcentral's name for it is "partial 16S ribosomal RNA". It matches the Rfam family "Bacterial small subunit ribosomal RNA", at positions 28 to 507 of the family's 1533-position model. The record is from RNAcentral.